UACUGGGAAGAGGAAAGUCUCCUUUGGAUUCUGGACAUCGGGCUGUUGCUGAAGUCCUUGCCUUUUAGAUCUACAACAGGUCCCUGAAGGAAGAAUUUAACCACUUUGAAGACUGGCUGAAUGUGUUUCCUCUGUACCGAGGGCAAGGGGGCCAGGAUGGAGGUGGAGAAGAGGAAGGAUCUGGACACCUUGUGGGCAAGUUCAAGGGCUCCUUCCUCAUUUACCCUGAAUCAGAGGCAGUGUUGUUCUCUGAGCCCCAG
Molecule: long non-coding RNA, 260 nt
Organism: Homo sapiens (human)
Lineage: Eukaryota; Metazoa; Chordata; Mammalia; Primates; Hominidae
Source: Ensembl